This 260-nucleotide long non-coding RNA is filed under the name Capsicum annuum. Its description in RNAcentral is "long non-coding RNA (CANN_LNC015772)". Lineage: Eukaryota; Viridiplantae; Streptophyta; Magnoliopsida; Solanales; Solanaceae. The record is from RNAcentral.
GUGGCUGUUAUAGGUCUUUCAAGUACUUUUAGUAAAUGUUCCGGUACUAUUUCUUUAUUGAUCAAAUAGCUAGUACAUCUGGGAUCUACUAAUGCUAAAGUUUCUAUCUCCAUAUUUUUUAUUUUUAUUUUUACUAAUACUUUUAUGGUAGAGAAUUCUUUAUCUUCAUUGCAUAUUAGACUAGUGUCAUUAUCUUCCAAAUUCAUAAGUUCUGCCUCCAAUUUUUCUAAAUGUAUAGCUUCUUGUGUAUCUGAUUCUUC